Punica granatum (pomegranate) is the source of this 311-nucleotide non-coding RNA. Lineage: Eukaryota; Viridiplantae; Streptophyta; Magnoliopsida; Myrtales; Lythraceae. The record is from RefSeq and is a predicted model, not a curated record.
UUCAGCUGGGGGGGAAUCAAAGAACAGAGAGGGACACAAAGGGAGAGACUGAGAGAGAGAUAGAGAGAGAGAGAGAGAGAGAGAGAGCAAGCCAGAGAGUUUGUGAUGGCAGCUCGUGUAAUAGAGUGAAAAGUUUUAAUGGCUCAACUCAAAGGGAACAAGAAGAUGAAGGAUAGUGCGUUGGUUUCAGGGCCUAUGGAGAUUGAGCUUUCCACCUCGAAGAAUCGACCCGUUGAAAUAUUUUUGGGUAUUCGAUAAGCUUCCGAUUGUGCGGAGGAACCACUUUUUGAUAUCGGGGAUCAGCUUGGAGG